This 459-nucleotide ribosomal RNA is filed under the name uncultured bacterium. RNAcentral describes it as "partial 16S ribosomal RNA". It matches the Rfam family "Bacterial small subunit ribosomal RNA", at positions 338 to 795 of the family's 1533-position model. The record is from RNAcentral.
CCUACGGGGGGCUGCAGUGAGGAAUAUUGGUCAAUGGGAGGAAUCCUGAACCAGCCAUGCCGCGUGCAGGACGACGGCUCUACGAGUUGUAAACUGCUUUUGUACCGGGGUAAAAUGCUCUACGAGUAGGGUUUUGAAAGUACGGUACGAAUAAGGAUCGGCUAACUCCGUGCCAACAGCCGCGGUAAUACGGAGGAUCCGAGCGUUAUCCGGAUUCAUUGGGUUUAAAGGGUGCGUAGGUUGUCUGUUAAGUCAGCGGUCAAAGCCCGGGGCUCAACCCCGGCCCGCCGUUGAAACUGGCAGUCUCGAGUUGGAGAGAAGUAUGCGGAAUGCGCGGUGUAGCGGUGAAAUGCAUAGAUAUCGCGCAGAACUCCGAUUGCGAAGGCAGCAUGCCGGCUCCACACUGACGCUGAGGCACGAAAGCGUGGGUAUCGAACAGGAUUAGAUACCCCGGUAGUC